Molecule: long non-coding RNA, 1647 nt
Organism: Pleuronectes platessa (European plaice)
Lineage: Eukaryota; Metazoa; Chordata; Actinopteri; Pleuronectiformes; Pleuronectidae
Exons: 2
Source: RefSeq, a predicted model, not a curated record
AAAUACACAUGUAUCGGGAUGGUCCAGCUACUAGUCAGUCAAUCACAUCGAUGGAAACUGAAAUGAUUAUUACUCCCUCGCCUGUUUAUACUCAUCCGUACCUUACAGCUGCUUCUGUGUGACAUUUGUAUUUCUGUUUCUAUUGUUAGCCUCGUACCUUCCCUGUCUGACAGCAUCUGGAAUGUCCUCUGUCCUGGCUUGUCGGAAUUCUUCGAUGGAGUCAUUCAAUGUUUUUAACUGACGCCUUUCAACUAUCUCAUCAACUUAUGGAUGGUCAUGAAAUCUGGUGAAGACGUGGAUGUUCCCCAUGAGAAGCAGACUUUGGAUUACGCAAAAACGACUCAACUUCCAUCAAAGUCUGUGGAGGGUUGGAGCAUAACCCAAGAAAGAAUGCUUUCAAUUUAGUUUCGGAUCCGGAUCCAGGAAUUCCGCAUUUCUCUUUUCACUUUCUUUCAAAUUUCAUUUUUUCACAUUCAGUGCCAAUCUACUGAAAUAUAUUGAGCUGUUAGUAUAGGUUCCAUGAACAUUGGUACAGAAUGGGGGUGUUUAAAUGACAUGUUAUCCCAAUGCACCUCCACCCUAAAGUUAACCUUGAUCCUGACAAUUUAAUAUCAAUAAUAUCCUUGUUGCUGUGCCACGAGGCCUCAGCUUCAACACGGGCUUUCAGUGCCAUGUUUAUAUAAGUGGCACCUUCAAUUGUUUUCACAAGCUUUUUGUUUUCACAUGCUUCUCGCUACAAAAGUUUGAAUUUCUAGAGCAGCCGGUCCGAUAUUCUGUUGUGUUUUUCUGGCGAGGAGGCGAGGAGGUGAGGAAAGAGGGGACAAGUUUCCAGGAAGAGUUGGUUUUCUUUUUUGCCCUCCGUUUAAAUCCCAUCACCACUGUUUUGUCAAUCAUUAUUUCCUGCCUCCCGAGAGACUCUCGAGUUUUAACAGAUUUCGGAGUCUGAGGUCACAGCUCUCCUUAAUGGCUUAUUGUUAUUGGAGGGAGUUUUUACUGCUCUGGGAAGGCUCUGGACGGCGGCCACGCGGGACCUGGGAAAGGGCCGAAGACAGUGUCUGUCUGCAGGUGAGCAGUGACACGGCAUCCGCAGCGGCUGUUGGGUCAGAAAUGUUUCAGCCAUCAACGCUGCUGUAGAAUGAAAUGGAGUCUGACCUGUAUUUUCUGUACAGAUACACGUCACUGACAGGAACAUGCUGGCUCAAGAACAGUAUUCGGACAGGUUUGGAAUUCAUGCUAUCUCUAGACCUAUUUUUACAUGGAAAUUAAUUAAACAGUAAAUACUAUUAAUAAGUGUUAUGAAAAUCUUUGCACAUUAAUCUCCAGUAUGUUUAGUUGUUUUGAUUCAUAAAGAUCAUUUUCACUCUAUUGACGAAGUAUAAAUAUUCCUUUUUCAGCAAAGAUUCAAAGAGGCGGUUGCUGGUAGAGGCCUCAACAUUGAUUUACUAAUGAAAGGUGCAGAUGUAAUGCAUGUAGCACAUUAAUAAAGGAUGAUCUGCAUUAUUCAUAAAUAUCAAAACUAUUUACUUGAUUUAUCAAUUAACCUUUUGUCUAAAUCAGCGAAAAAAACAUGCAUCAGUGUUUUCUUCAAAUUCCUCGGUCUUUUCCUAAAUAUGACUUUUUAAGCAGAAAUGAAAUUUUUGCAUGCUU